Larimichthys crocea (large yellow croaker) is the source of this 803-nucleotide long non-coding RNA. RefSeq lists it as uncharacterized. NCBI's taxonomy places the organism in Eukaryota, Metazoa, Chordata, Actinopteri, Sciaenidae. The record is from RefSeq and is a predicted model, not a curated record. The transcript has 3 exons.
AGAUGAUGAAGAUGAUGAAGGUGAUGAAGGUGGUGUCUGAUGGACUGGGCGUAGAUGAUGAAGGUGAUGAAGGUGGUGUUUGUUGGACUGGGCGUAGAUGAUGAAGAUGAUGAAGGUGGUGUUUGUUGGACUGGGCGUAGAUGAUGAAGAUGAUGAAGGUGGUGUCUGAUGGACUGGGCGUAGAUGAUGAAGGUGAUGAGGAUGAUGAAGGUGGUGUUUGUUGGAGGACUGGGCGUAGAUGAUGAAGAUGAUGAAGGUGAUGAAGGUGGUGUCUGAUGGACUGGGCGUAGAUGAUGAAGGUGAUGAAGGUGGUGUCUGAUGGACUGGGCGUAGCAGUGACGGAGCUCGGACCUGAAGGUGUCUCCUGAGAUCCGCCUUGGCGUGCGGCGGCUCCAGCGAGGGCACAAAUGGAUUGUGGGUCAUCUGCUGGCGUCCAUUAUCCACUCAGAGCACCUCGGCGAGGAGCCGCUCGCUGCUCUCUGAUUGGAUGAUUCCCCCAUCAGGCUCGUGUAGGAGACUGGUCGCCGUGGUAACAGGCGAUGUCCUUCAACGCCGCAGCGCGUUUACAGCGUCCACAGGGAGCGCCGAGGUUAGCCCCGCCCACCCAGGACGUACAUUAGCUGUAAUGCAGCGCUCCUCAUCACCGCGGGGACGUCCCAGCGCCGUUUGCAGAGCGCGGCACAUUUUUCAACCUCCACCUCCGUCAGCACCAACAGGGAGCGGGUCAGGUCCGAGGUGACGGAGACGAGAGUGUCCAGGUUCAAAUCAUCAGGAGGCCGGCGCUCGUUUCCAUGACGACACAA